CUGGAAUACUAACGAUGUCUAUAUCGUAUCUGUCGUUAAUCUUGUUUCAACUGUUGUCUCUGUGGACGUGGAGAUCAAAUGCAGUCUGGAUACUGCAAUAAAGAUGUGUGUGGAAAAAAACCUCCUCCGCCCUGCUGUAUAGAUCACAAAUGUAGGCAAUGUUCUGCAAGCAUAUGUGGAGGUUUAAACAAGGCUAACCCCUGUUGUGGAACUGGACACUGCAAUAUUUUCUGCUGCAAUUGUUAUGGGGAUUGUUGGCCUGGAGAUCCAUAUAAGGAUUUUUAUAAGGUACACGCUGAUCGGCUAAUCCGCAAUUAGCAAAUAAAUUUAAAUAAAAACAAAUAAGAAAGCUGUAGUCGAGACUGCUCGACUACGAUAUGCCCUAAA
This 387-nucleotide small RNA is filed under the name Drosophila mojavensis. Its description in RNAcentral is "GI26973". Lineage: Eukaryota; Metazoa; Arthropoda; Insecta; Diptera; Drosophilidae. The record is from RNAcentral.